UGGGCAGUCCUGUACGGCCAGCUCCCUUUGAAUCCCCCAGGGUGGGAACGCAGCAAGGGUAUUAGGUCGUAGCGGCGCGAUGCAGGUAGCUGCCCAC
This 97-nucleotide signal recognition particle RNA is filed under the name uncultured Prevotella sp. Its description in RNAcentral is "Bacteroidales small SRP". It matches the Rfam family "Bacteroidales small SRP", at positions 9 to 102 of the family's 107-position model. Rfam says of the family: The non-coding component of the signal recognition particle in Bacteroides The record is from RNAcentral. Lineage: Bacteria; Pseudomonadati; Bacteroidota; Bacteroidia; Bacteroidales; Prevotellaceae.